GAUGAACGCUGGCGGCGUGCCUAAUACAUGCAAGUCGAGCGAACAGACGAGGAGCUUGCUCCUCUGACGUUAGCGGCGGACGGGUGAGUAACACGUGGAUAACCUACCUAUAAGACUGGGAUAACUUCGGGAAACCGGAGCUAAUACCGGAUAAUAUAUUGAACCGCAUGGUUCAAUAGUAAAAGACGGUUUUGCUGUCACUUAUAGAUGGAUCCGCGCCGCAUUAGCUAGUUGGUAAGGUAACGGCUUACCAAGGCAACGAUGCGUAGCCGAGCUGAGAGGGUGAUCGGCCACACUGGAACUGAGACACGGUCCAGACUCCUACGGGAGGCAGCAGUAGGGAAUCUUCCGCAAUGGGCGAAAGCCUGACGGAGCAACGCCGCGUGAGUGAUGAAGGUCUUCGGAUCGUAAAACUCUGUUAUUAGGGAAGAACAAAUGUGUAAGUAACUAUGCACGUCUUGACGGUACCUAAUCAGAAAGCCACGGCUAACUACGUG
This 497-nucleotide ribosomal RNA is filed under the name uncultured bacterium. Its description in RNAcentral is "partial 16S ribosomal RNA". It matches the Rfam family "Bacterial small subunit ribosomal RNA", at positions 28 to 507 of the family's 1533-position model. The record is from RNAcentral.